RNAcentral lists this unclassified non-coding RNA (401 nucleotides) under soil metagenome. RNAcentral describes it as "partial contains 5.8S ribosomal RNA, internal transcribed spacer 2, and large subunit ribosomal RNA". The stretch from base 1 to 121 matches the Rfam family "5.8S ribosomal RNA", at positions 35 to 154 of the family's 154-position model. The record is from RNAcentral.
GAUGAAGAACGUAGCGAAAUGCGAUAGGUAGUGUGAAUUGCAGAUGUAACGUGAAUCAUCGAAUCUUUGAACGCAAAUUGCACUCUCUGGUAUUCCGGGGAGUAUGCCUGUUUGAGGGUCGCCAAAUCAACAUCGAAAUUCAUUUGCUUUUGUAAAUGUUUAUCGGAUUUGAGCCGUCUUUUUAUUUUUUUUAAAGUGGCUUAAAAUGUAUUUUUUUGGUAUCGAAAAACGUUAUUUUACGAUCCAAUCGAUCAACAAACAAACGUUUCGAAUGCCGUCUUUUAAUGUAAUACGUUUGACUGUGUCAUACAAUCAUGGUUUCAUUCGUAUACGAGUUUAAUUUUUGACCUCAAAUCAGGUAAGAACACCCGCUGAACUUAAGCAUAUCAAUAAGCGGAGGA